CUACUGUACAUGAUGAAGGACCCUUAGGAAAGAAUCGAACAGCACCUCUGUUAGGAAGACCUUCCAGAGAUCUCCAAUGAAUUUUCUGAUUUGGGAUUGGCUGCAUAUUUCUAGCAAGCCAAGAGAAUUCAAUAUCACGACCAAAUGCUUUAUACUUGAGUGACCAUCGCGAUAGGUCGGGCUUGUCUUCCAGUACCUUUACGGACG
RNAcentral lists this unclassified non-coding RNA (207 nucleotides) under Hevea brasiliensis (rubber tree). Lineage: Eukaryota; Viridiplantae; Streptophyta; Magnoliopsida; Malpighiales; Euphorbiaceae. The record is from RNAcentral.